UGGGGAAUCUUAGACAAUGGGGGAAACCCUGAUCUAGCCAUGCCGCGUGAGCGAUGAAGGCCUUAGGGUUGUAAAGCUCUUUCAGCUGGGAAGAUAAUGACGGUACCAGCAGAAGAAGCCCCGGCUAACUCCGUGCCAGCAGCCGCGGUAAUACGGAGGGGGCUAGCGUUGUUCGGAAUUACUGGGCGUAAAGCGCACGUAGGCGGAUUAGUCAGUCAGAGGUGAAAUCCCAGGGCUCAACCCUGGAACUGCCUUUGAUACUGCUAGUCUUGAGGUCGAGAGAGGUGAGUGGAAUUCCGAGUGUAGAGGUGAAAUUCGUAGAUAUUCGGAGGAACACCAGUGGCGAAGGCGGCUCACUGGCUCGAUACUGACGCUGAGGUGCGAAAGCGUGGGGAGCAAAACAGGAUUAGAUACCCUGGUAGUCCACGCCGUAAACGAUGAAUGCCAGUCGUCGGGUUUG
Molecule: ribosomal RNA, 460 nt
Filed under: uncultured bacterium
Lineage: Bacteria
Description: partial 16S ribosomal RNA
Rfam family: Bacterial small subunit ribosomal RNA
Source: RNAcentral